CAAGACCAUAUGCUCUGUGCCUGUGCGCAAAAGGUUUGUAUUAAACUGACCUUGGGAGUUCUUGCACCUCUCCAGAAAGCUACGCCGCCUGCGCGUAACGAUGGUAAAGAGCUGGCUCUUGCACAUCUCUGCUGGUACACCUGGACCCUUUCAGUUAAAGAUCUGUUUCUGUUCAGUUCUGAACGCUGGCCAAGCUACACAGGUAGAGCGGCGCGCACGAACAAGCGCCCAUUCACCCGGCACCAACACACACAAACCAGCGCGCCCUGCGCAAACAUCCAGCCACCAAGCGCUCUUUGUCCCCGGUGUUACCGGCGAAUGGAGGCGGCUGACCUGCGUGACUCUUGGUACCUGAUAUGAGUCAAAAUCCUGAUCCGUUAAUCUGCGUGACUGCGUCGCUGCCCGAGAGCGCGAGCCGUCGUCUCAUGCAUCGGAUAAACCGUGGUGCGGAAUGAGCGCGAUCUCCCACCGGUCUGCUGCGCGACACCACCAUAAAUCCCUCCCGUGGAGCGACGGGAAUAAUCCGCGGGCGAUUCUGUCCGGUCCUGCCCGGGUGCUGUAGGCAUUUAUGCCGGGUUGGCAACGGCUACAGCGGCUACUGGAUGUUUGGUGCUUGGGGGGUUUGAGGAGUCAGGAGUGGAAGUUUCAUCCUUUUUCCUUUUUUAAAUAGCAGUUUGGAGAGCAGCUGUGGUGAGCGCCGGGUGUCGGGUUUCACGGCCGCCGUACACAACGCCCCUUGUGGGAGGGCACACCGGGGCACCUAGCUCCUGCCAAGGAGUUUCCCAGAGCUCAGGCCCUACAGAACCUAUAGCACCACAGUUCAAAGGUCACUGGACGGCUUCAGGCUCAAACAUGGCUGGAAUACUACCAUACUGCUUACUGCAUACUGUGAAAUCUACUAUUUG
Molecule: long non-coding RNA, 905 nt
Organism: Onychostoma macrolepis
Lineage: Eukaryota; Metazoa; Chordata; Actinopteri; Cypriniformes; Cyprinidae
Exons: 3
Source: RefSeq, a predicted model, not a curated record